RNAcentral lists this ribosomal RNA (462 nucleotides) under uncultured bacterium. Its description in RNAcentral is "partial 16S ribosomal RNA". It matches the Rfam family "Bacterial small subunit ribosomal RNA", at positions 28 to 523 of the family's 1533-position model. The record is from RNAcentral.
GAUGAACGCUGGCGGCGUGCCUAAAACAUGCUAGUCGAACGGCAGCAUGACCUUCGGGUUGAUGGCGAGCGGCGGACGGCUGAGUAACGCGUAGGAAUAUACCCCAAAGUGAGGGAUAACUGCCCGAAAGGGUGGCUAAUACCGCAUGUGAUCUUCGGAUUAAAGCUUUAUUCGCUUUGGGAAUAGCCUGCGUUCGAUUAGCUAGUUGGUGAGGUAAAAGCUCACCAAGGCGACGAUCGAUAGCUGGUCUGAGAGGAUGAUCAGCCAGACUGGAACUGAGACACGGUCCAGACUCCUACGGGAGGCAGCAGUUGGGAAUUUUCCACAAUGGGCGAAAGCCUGAUGGAGCAACGCCGCGUGCAGGAUGAAUGCCUUCGGGUUGUAAACUGCUUUUAUGUGAGAAGAAUAUGACGGUAACACAUGAAUAAGGGUCGGCUAACUACGUGCCAGCCGCCGCCGUAA